RNAcentral lists this ribosomal RNA (198 nucleotides) under uncultured bacterium. RNAcentral's name for it is "partial 16S ribosomal RNA". It matches the Rfam family "Bacterial small subunit ribosomal RNA", at positions 328 to 539 of the family's 1533-position model. The record is from RNAcentral.
ACGCUCGACACCUACUGGAGGCAGCAGUGGGGAAUAUUGCACAAUGGAGGAAACUCUGAUGCAGCGAUGCCGCGUGAGGGAAGAAGGUUUUCGGAUUGUAAACCUCUGUCUUUGGGGACGAUAAUGACGGUACCCAAGGAGGAAGCCCCGGCUAACUACGUGCCCGCAGCCGCGGUAAUCUGAGCGGGCUGGCAAGGC